UGACAAAAUGACAUUGAUGUGUUCAUGCACUAUUAUCACCAAUUUGACUCCUAGCAUGAAUCAUCGCAAGUCUUAUCGACCAACUUGAACGUAGGCGCAAGCAAACAACCCAGUACAUCAGCUCGCAUCGAUGCGUCCUGAAUUGACCUCCAUUCCUGGAAACGGAUGGCUCGUGCUUGGAACCCGGCGAUGAAACAGAUGGGAACCUUCGAAAUAUUACUUUAAAAAGGAACCAAGACGAGAAAGAGGACGUGGACGUCGCGGCUGCGGCCAACCACGAACGUGAAAAACGCCGCUUUGCCGCUCGAACGGACCUGAUUCCUCCAGUCCUCGGUCGCUCCUGGCUGUCACGCCACUCCACUCGAAAAAGCGACCCACUUUAAAAAUAUAAGGGAUCCACAAUUAUCCGGGUCUGGUGGCCCAGGGAGUAGUCGUAUGCGAUGGACCGGUUCCGAAUGUGGUUCCAUAAGCUUUGCCAAUGGGUCCCACUUGUACGU
This 497-nucleotide long non-coding RNA is filed under the name Phoenix dactylifera (date palm). Its description in RNAcentral is "long non-coding RNA (PDAC_LNC001289)". Lineage: Eukaryota; Viridiplantae; Streptophyta; Magnoliopsida; Arecales; Arecaceae. The record is from RNAcentral.